This 253-nucleotide ribosomal RNA is filed under the name uncultured bacterium. Its description in RNAcentral is "partial 16S ribosomal RNA". It matches the Rfam family "Bacterial small subunit ribosomal RNA", at positions 524 to 776 of the family's 1533-position model. The record is from RNAcentral.
UACGUAGGUGGCAAGCGUUGUCCGGAUUUACUGGGCGUAAAGAGCGCGCAGGCGGUCAGAUAAGUCGAAUGUGAAAGCCCCCGGCUCAACUGGGGAGGGUCAUUCGAUACUGUUCGACUCGAAGGCAGGAGAGGGAAGCGGAAUUCCCGGUGUAGUGGUGAAAUGCGUAGAUAUCGGGAGGAACACCAGUGGCGAAGGCGGCUUCCUGGCCAUGUCCUGACGCUCAGGGGCGAAAGCGUGGGGAGCAAACCGG